Non-coding RNA from Esox lucius (northern pike), 2360 nucleotides. Lineage: Eukaryota; Metazoa; Chordata; Actinopteri; Esociformes; Esocidae. The record is from the annotation of a RefSeq genome assembly.
UUGCAUGGACUGAAUACUAUAAUAUUGAUUACUAUUACGUUUGGGAAAUUUAUUCGGUAUUGUCAUACAUGUUUUAACACAAAUCUAUUAUUAAGUGUGGAUGGAUGCAGACGAGACAAAGUCCAUUGGAUGAGAAAGCCAGAAGAGCCCUCCCAUGUGAACUGAGAUCAUCCUACUGCCAGCCCCGGUAAAAUCCAGUAAAUCCAGGGACUUGACUGAUAGCCACAACUCUCCACUGACAGAUCUAGUUCAGGGAAAUUCAACGGCCCUGAUAGAUCACCUCUCUGAAGAGUGGUUGAGUUUUUCAUGUGCCAUACAUCAUUUCGUGAGAGUGACAGGAUUGCCUCAAAGAGAUUGUGCCCUUCAAAAUCCAUUAAUCUAAGAUGACAGACGCCCUGUUGCUUCUGCUGUGCUGGAGCUAUGUUUUGGAAGCAUCAAUAAUCAGCCAGAGACCUGAAGUAGUGAUGGUGAAGGCCGAAGGUACAGUUACAUUGGAAUGUAAUGUGAAAGAGUUUAUAACAUACUGCCACCUAGUGACUUGGAUGAAAGUAGACCCCAGGACACAAACAGUAACAACGAGAACAAUGUUGAAAGACCCAAGGAGAAAUGAAGUUGGAGUAUGUUCUGUUAUCCUCACCAAUGCAAAAGUGAGCGACUCCGGCAUGUACUACUGUUCAGCAGUUCUAUCUGAGAUGAUCCACAUUGGCAAUGGUUCUAGAGUUGUUAUUUUGACAGAGAAAGAGACACCAGGGAACAUCACCGAAUCCACCACCAUCAAAAUCUUCUCAUCACCAGAAAGUGAUGGCUCCUCAGUCCCUCUCCUGUGUCUGGUGUCAGGAUUGGUCCCGUCUCAGGUCCGUGUGUUCUGGCUCAUAAAUGGGAGAGAGGAGAGUGGACGAAUUGAGUCGCCGUGUGAUUCAGCAAAAGAGUUCAUUAGGAACCAGAUUCUGGUCCAGGCAGAGGAGUGGGACAGAGGAGCAGAGUGCACAUGUGUGGUGGAGUUUGGUGGGCAGAAUAUCACCAAAACUGUGGAAAAGCUAGACUUUGGCAUCCUGUGUUACAUCACAGUGUGGAUGUACAGACUCCUGGGAAUAACUGCCUGGCUCCUGCUGUUGAUCCUGUCUGUCCUUGUGGCAUCAUGCAUUUGCAAACACAGAUGUUUUCAGAUGAACAAAUUACAAGAGAGGACCAAGACAUAAUUAAUCAAGAGAUAAUGCAUGAUAGGUAGGGUUUGUUUCUUGAUGGUUAGUAAUUUAAGUGGCAGUGGCCUGUGACAAUUAGACAUUGUGUGUUUUAUGUUUUUUAUGUGUUGCUUAACAUCAAUUAUAACAAUCUAUAUUUGAAGUUUUCUUAGUAGAACUGGCAUAUAUAUUACCUCACUGUACACGUAUUGUAAAAGCUUCCUCGUGCUCUUUGGGUCAGAUAUCCUUUUUUAUUUCAUUCUAACGAUUAAUUAAUUAGUAAUUGUAAUGCCACUGAAUUCCUUUGGGAAACAUAUUUUCAGACUUUGUGCAACAAUGUACUUUUUAAAGUUGCAACUCUAUAUUUUUAAUCUUUAUGUUCAUGUCAUGUUGUUAAUGCCUUGUGGCUUAUUUGCUUGAAAUCCUGAUGAUACGUGUGCUCUAUUAACUUCUCCAAAGAGAUACGUAGUUGCAAUAACGACCCUCAAAUAAAAGAGUCAAAUAUUUGCUGUAAGCACAUUGACUACCUGACAUGUCCAGCAACAAAGUAUUAAAUGCUUAUAUGCAUCUCACGUGAGUGUCUGUUUUCAUCCUACUAACAGGAAAAUUACAAGACUUACUUAUAGUUUUGUGAAUUAGAAGACAAGGUCAGGAAAAUAAAGUUCAAAGAGUAUGAAGUGCCAUCUGUUGCCUACUGUAUGUAAAUGUUUGCGUUGGUAACAUAUUGUCAGUGUAACCUUCUACUUCCUGCCUCAUUGACUAUGCAGAGCCAUUUUAUGUUUCUGAAAGAGAAGUUAAAAACAUCCAGGACAAUUUCAGUGGAAUACUACGACACUCAUAUGAAAAAGCAUGAGGAUAACUAUACAUGUACAAUUUGUUACUUUUAUUCUUGCGAUGGGACCUGCAAGCUGAAUUUUCCAAAAUGGGGUUUGUGUUCUCUUCAUUAUUGUCAGAAUAAUGGAUAGGAAGUGACACCUAUGAAGUUGGAAAGGUUUAGCAACAGUGUUGUCCGGCCCUCUUUAUCGUGUGGUUUGAAGAAGUGACACUGACUGUGAUGGGGUUCAAGGUAACGCUCAUAGGGUGACUUCUGAAGAAUACAUAAACUCAUGAGGUUAAAAAAGUCCCCAUGUAACUACAGUAGUGUGAAGUUUUGGGUCUUGGUGAAUAAUUUCAGUUAAU